UAACGAAUCUUCCGCAAUGGGCGAAAGCCUGACGGAGCAAUGCCGCGUGUGGGAUGAAGCGCCUUCGGCGUGUAAACCACUGUCAGGGAAUGGAACCAAUGAUUAUUCCCAAAGGAAGUGGCGACUAACUCUGUGCCAGCAGUCGCGGUAAUACAGAGGCCACAAGCGUUAGUCGGAAUCACUGGGCUUAAAGGGUGCGUAGGCGGGCCCGCAAGCGUCUUGUGAAAUCCCAUGGCUCAACCAUGGAAUUGCAGGGCGAACUGCGGGUCUUGAGGCAGGUAGGGGCCGGAAGAACAGUAGGUGGAGCGGUGAAAUGCGUAGAUAUCUACUGGAAUGCCGAUGGGGAAGCCGUCCGGCUGGGCCUGUCCUGACGCUGAGGCACGAAAGCGUGGGGAGCAAACAGGAUUAGAUACCCUCGUAGUCCCUGAGCGGGCUGGCAAGGCGCAU
RNAcentral lists this ribosomal RNA (447 nucleotides) under uncultured bacterium. Its description in RNAcentral is "bacterial SSU rRNA". It matches the Rfam family "Bacterial small subunit ribosomal RNA", at positions 355 to 825 of the family's 1533-position model. The record is from RNAcentral.